ACCAAGCGCGGGUAAACG
RNAcentral lists this small nuclear RNA (18 nucleotides) under Arabidopsis thaliana (thale cress). Its description in RNAcentral is "snRNA_10456". The record is from RNAcentral. Lineage: Eukaryota; Viridiplantae; Streptophyta; Magnoliopsida; Brassicales; Brassicaceae.